This is a long non-coding RNA of Aegilops tauschii subsp. strangulata, 1103 nucleotides long. RefSeq lists it as uncharacterized. The record is from RefSeq and is a predicted model, not a curated record. Lineage: Eukaryota; Viridiplantae; Streptophyta; Magnoliopsida; Poales; Poaceae.
UAACUCCAAGGCGGAGGCCCCAUCUCAACGCACGUCUCCUCCUCUUCUCUCUCUGUUCUCUUUCUCUUCUAGUGCAAAUCCCUUUCUCUCCCAAGAUCCAAUCGCACCCCAAAGGUCUCAAUUCUAUUCCAUUCCAGUGGCUUAAUUCCUUCGCAUUUCCCCCAAAACAAUCUCCUUAUUCAACGAAUUGUCUCAUUGUUGCUUGCUGCUUGUCCUUCGACCUGGGUGCAUGAUUGGAGUUGGAGGCAUGCCACAAGCGCUAGGCUGCCGAUUAACCGAGAUGAGGAACCGGACGACCCGAGCCACGCCGCAGCCGAAUGGUGUUCCUUCCAAAUAAAUCAAAGUGCUGGAGCAAGAACCCCACUACAGGGUCGAUUCUCGUUCCGUCUCUGCGUGCUCAUCAGUUUGAUUGAUGCCUGACAGCGACAAACAAGGGAUUAUAGACUUGUAGAUGAAAACUACAAACAAGAACCAGAUUAUAUAUUUCAUAGUGAAAACAUAUCUACAAACAAGGGAAUAUGCCCUCCUUUACUUCAAUUUCCAUUGGGCUACUUGGUGCAGAGGUCUGAAGCAAUUGGAAGUUGGAACCUAAAAGAAACACAGCGACUUGGGUUCUACAGUUAACCUGGUUUAAUUCCUAUGUUCUUAUGCUCAACAUCUGCGUUGGACAAGCAGAUGAUCUUGCACCCGAGACCACAGGGGCAACACGGAGCGCUACGACGAUCACGCGCCAUUGCCUGAAGAGCAUGCCCGCAGAGUGCUUUUGCAGUUUAUGAAGAUGAAGCUCAUGUUACUGUCGGCUACUUCCUAACACCAAGUCCAGCCUUGUCCACAACAAAAUCAGCAAUGCAGUACUUGUUGCCAAAUGCCAAGUAAUAAUGGGUUUGCCGACAGAAGAAAAAGUGCACUGUCGACCAGUCAUCCCGCAACUGCAAAAGCUUUGCAAUCCCAGCAGACCAGCUGCCACUCUUGCUCGUGUGCCUCGCUUGUACCCAGCGACCAUCAUGGCACAAAUCAAGCAAAUAACCUUUACAAAAAGGGUCAGGCCACUCCAUGUCUCCAUCUAGCUAGCAGCCUACCACAUUAUGGACGCCUUGGCACCA